Molecule: long non-coding RNA, 4918 nt
Filed under: Mus musculus (house mouse)
Lineage: Eukaryota; Metazoa; Chordata; Mammalia; Rodentia; Muridae
Description: RIKEN cDNA B230354K17 gene (B230354K17Rik)
Source: RNAcentral
AAAUGUGAGGGGUGUGGCGUUCCUCAGCACGCUUGGUCCCCAGGGAGCGCUGUUUGUUUGUUUGUUUGCUUGUUUGUUUGUCUGUUUGUUUAACGGAGCGCUGCGCUGGGCAUCCCGGCGACCGACGAGGACUUCGCUGAGUCCUCGGGGAGAUGCAAACGAGUCCGUUCUCUUUCUAGGAGCUCCAACUCGCAGCGCCAAGCGCCGAGGAUGCCGGACGGACUCAAGAUCCUAACUCUAACCUGAGGGACUGAGCGACUGCUCGCCCCAAAGUGUUCGCUCUCCUUCCUGGAAGAGCCACAAGGGGUUCGAGGCGACGCCCUAGGGACCCUUGGGAAGCGUCACGUCAGCCGCUUUCCCUCAUCCCUCGCUGUUGGGUGUCUGUGGAACAAACUCGUUUUCAGGACUGUGAUGACUAUUCUUCGUUGUCAACUUGACUAUAUCUGGAAUCACCUACAACCCAGAAAUGGAGAAGAGCACACCUGUGAGAGAUUGUCUGCUUAAAGUGGAUGAAUCCACUUCUAGUCCAGACCUUUGAGGUAGGAAGACACACAUUUUUAAUCUCAAUCUCGAGGUGGGAAGACACAAGUCUUUAAUCCAAAUCUUAAGAGAUGUCUUUUGUGAACAUAUGAGCCAUACUUUCAGCUGGAUGUCUGUAUAAGGACGUAAAAGAAGGAAGCUUUUACUCUUUGUCUAUCUGCUCUUGCCUUGCUAGCACAUCCAUUCCCUCACUGGUAUUACAACCUACUUCUGGAUUGCAGCAUAUACUGAAGACCACCUGAGACAUGCAGCCUUGUGGGACUGAGCAACCACUAGAUUUUUAGACUUUUUAUUGUUGGAUUAGCUGGACUACAGAGGAAGGAGAGAGAGAUUGAUUCCAUAAGUUCUGUGACUCUAAAGAACCCUGACUAAUACAGAUUUUGGUACCAGAAGUGGUUCUAGAGAAGCAGAAGUAUAAGGAUGAAUCUUUUAAGUAUCUGGAAUAGGCAUUUCAAUUCGCCGGCACCUUCAGCUACUGAAGUCUCUCCAGUCACCCCCUCUCCUGGGAGCUUGGAGAGUACUGAAGGCCCAUGGUAUGAACUGUAUUACAAACUUAAAGAGAUAAAUGAAUUUGAUUAUCCUGGCUCACCAAUUGUGAGCGACAAUGGAUUAGGUGACCCUGUAUAUGAAACUUUUGACAGUUUGGGGGAAAAUAAGGAAAAUGAUGCUGCUGGUUGGUUGCUUUUAGCAUCUCUGGAUAAACUGAUAAAGGAUAGGAAUGAGCUCCGGGAUAAAAUUAACCAACUGCAGAAUAUGGUGAAGGACAACAAAGAACUUAAUGAUAAAAUUGACCAUCUUCAGAUGCUCAUAAACAAUCUAAAGGUUUCUAAGUGUGCCCUGGAAAAGAAUCUUCUCUCCAGCAGCCACAAAGCUCAGUUUAUGGAAAACCAAACUGAAGCUCUCAUUAUUCGGUUAGCCGAGUUACAGGGAAAAUUCAAGUCCCAGCCUCGGAAAGUGUCAGCAGAACCUGUUCGUAAGGACUACCAGAUGCAGUUCCCUUUCAGAUGGAAGGCCAGCAGUAUACCUUUACAGUUUUACCUCAAGGAUAUAUAGACUCUCCUGUUCUGUGUCAUAACUUAGUUAGAAGGGAACUUGAUUGUCUGACUCUUCCACAAAAUAUCACAUUGGUGCACUAUAUUGACGAUAUUAUGCUGACUGGACCAAGUGAACUGGAUGUAGCUACUCAUUGGUAACAACAGAUAUGAAUCAGAAGAUAGGAAAAAUUCAAGAACUGUCUACAACAGUGAAAUCCUUAGGAGUCCAGUGGUGUGGGGAAUGCAGAGAUAUUCCUUGUAAGGUGAAGAAUAAAUAAUUGCAGUUGACCCCACCCCCCACCAAGAAAGAAGCAUAAUGUUUAGUGGGCCUAUUUGGCUUCUGGAAGCAUUACAACUCUCACAUGGGUUUGUUACUCCAGGCCAUAUACUAAGUGACUUGGAAAGCUGUUAGUUUUGUGUGGGGCCUGGGACAGGAGAAGGCUCAACAGAUCCAGGCUACUGUGCAGGCUGUUCUACCACUUGGAUGACAUGAUCCAGCAGACCCAAUGGUACUUGAGGUGUCAGUGACAGAACGGGAAUGCUGUUUGGAGCUUUGGCAUACCAAUAGGUGAAUCACAGAAAAGACCUUUGAGAUUUUGGAACAAGGCUCUACCGUCAUCUGCAGACAACUAUUCUCCCUUUAAAGACAGCUCUUGGCCUGCUAUUGGGCCUCAGUGGAAACUGAACAUUUGACAAUGAGCCAGCAAGUUACCAUGCGACCAGAGCUGCCCAUCAUGAGCUAAGUAUUAUUGGACCACCAAAUCAUAAAGUAGGACAUGCACAGCAGCAAUCCAUUAUCAAAUGGAAGUGGUAUAGAGCUGGAGAGAAAGCUCAGCAGUUAAGAGCACUGACUGCUCUUCCAGAGGUCCUAAGUUCAAUUCCCAGCAACUACAUGGUGGCUCACAACCAUCUGCAAUGGGAUCUGAUGCCCAUUUCUGAUGUGUCUGAAGACAGCUAUAGUAUACUCGUAUACACAAAACAAAUAAAUCUUUUUUAAAAUGGAAGUGGUAUAUGCAUGAUUGAACCUGACCAGGUCCUGAUGGCACAAGUGAGUCACAUGAAGAAGUUGCCCAAAUGCCUAUGAUUUCUGCUCUUGUUACAGUGCAGUCUUACUGCCAAGCAUACACCUAUAGUUUCAUGGGGUGUUCCCUACAAUCAGCGUACUGAGAAGGAGACAGCUAGGGCCUGGUUUACUGAUGGUUGUGCACUUUAUACAGUCACCGCCCAGAAGUAGACAGCUGGAGCAUUAAAAACCCUUUUUGGGACAACUCUAAAAGAUGCUGACAAAGGGAAUUCUUCACAGUGGGCAGAACUUGGCCAAAUGAAUGAUUGUUCACUGAUUCACGUGCUGUAAAAUGGAUUGGCUGAAUAGUCACGGACAUGGAAAGAUCAUGAUUGGAAAAUUGGUGAGAAAAACAUCUGAGGAAGACAUAUGUAGAUGUACAGAGGAUGUGAAGAUAUUUGUGUCCCAAGUAAAUGCUCUUCAAAAGGUGACUUCAGCUAAGGAGUUCAUUAAUCAAGUAGAUAGGAUGACCUAUUCUGGGGACAGUCAACCUCUUUCCCUAGCCAUUCCUGUCAUUGCCCAAUGUCCACAUGAACAAAAUGGCCAUGGUGGCAUAGGUGGGGGUUAUGCAUGGGCUCAAUGAUACAGACUUUCACUCAUCAAGACUGACCUGGCUACAGCUGUUCUGAGUGCCAAAUCUGCCAUGCCAACAUCAGAGACCAACAUUGAAACCCAGAUAUGAUGCCAUUACCUGGGGUGAUCAUCCAGCAACCUGGUGGGAGGCUGACCACAUUGGACCAUUUCCUCCACGGAAAGGACAGUGCUUUAUCUUUACUGGAGUAAAUAGUCUGGUUACAGAUUUGCAUUUCCUGCACCAUAAUGCUUCUGCCAAAACCACAAUUUAUGAACUUACAGAUUGCCUUAUCCAUCAUCAUAGUAUUCCACAAAGUAUUGCUUCUGACCAAGGUACUCACUUCACAGCCAGAGAGAAGUGUGACAGUGGACCCAUGAUCAUGGAAUCCACUGGUCUUACCAUGUUCUCCACCAUCCUAAAGCAGCUGGCCAGAUAGAAAUAUGGAAUGGCCUUUUAAAGACACAGUUACAGUGCCAGUUAAGUAGCAGCAGCCUAGAGGGCUGAGGUAGGGUUCUUCAGAAGACAGUAUAUACUUUGAGUCAGCAUCCAGUGUAAGGUACAAUUUCUCCCAUAGCUAGGAUCCAUGGGUCCAGGAAUCAAGGGCUGGAAAAGGGAAUAUUUUCACACGCCAUCACCCCUAAUGAACCCUAGGGAAAAAAUGCUUUCUGUUCCUGCAACCCUAAGUUCUUUGGUUCCAGAGGGAGAAGUCUCCUGCCAGGAGCUGCAACAAAAAAAAAAAAAAAAAAUCCAUUGAACUAGAAGCUCAGACUUAACCCCUGGCAACUUUGGGCUUCUAGUGCCCUUAAACCUACAGGUUAACAAAGGAAUAGCAGUGUUAGGAGGAGUAAUUGAUCCAGAUUACUAUGGGGAUAUUGGAUUGCUUCUCCCACAGAGGUACAAAAGACUAUGUCUGGAAUGCAGGAGAUUCUUUAGGAUGUCUCAACGUACUAUUAUAACAUGAAUUAAAGUCAAUGGGAAACUACAACAACCUAAUCCAGGCAAGAUGACAAAGGGCACAGACCCUUCAGGAAUGAAGGUAUGGGUCACUUCUCCAGGGAAAGAGCCAAGACCUGCUGAGGUGCUUGCUGAGGAUGGACAAAAUACUUAAUAGGUAGUAGAGGAUGGUAGUUACAAAUACCAGCCAAGGUGAUGUGACCAGUUGCAGUUGCAAAAAAGGAAAAAAAAAAAAAAAUGCCGGGUGGUGGUGGCACACGCCUUUAAUCCCAGCACUCGGGAGGCAGAGGCAGCAGGCGGAUUUCUGAGUUCGAGGCCAGCCUAGUCUACAGAGUAAGUUCCAGGAUAGCCAGGAUGACACACAGAGAAACACUAUCUGGAAAGAAAAAAGAGAGAGAAUAACAGUAAUUAUCAUUAUUUAAGUUUAAGAUACUAAAAGGAUGUCCCCUAAAGGACAUUGCCACUUAGUCUAAAUUUAUAAUUUGUUUUUAGUUGGACCAGGGUUGUACGAGUUAUAUCAUGUUAGGUGUAAUUAUGACCUGGUUAAAUAUAUAACGCAUCUGUGAUUUUACAUGGAAUGGUUAUAUUAUGUUCAAGCAUUAUCAUGACCUGAUAAUUGUUUUCAUUUGGAAAUUAUGACAUAAGAAGCUAUGAUUGUGUAUCAAGUUGAAAAGAGGUGGACUUGUGAUGGCUAUUCUUGGUUGUCAACUUGACUAUAUCUGGAAUAAACUACAAUCCAGUAAUGGAGACCAC